GUAGCCUCCUUGGUUACAACAUGAACAUGGGAUCUAAUGCUAAGGGUGCUUCUGACGAUCAAAUCUCACAGAUUCCAAGUUGGAGAUAUAAACAAGUUCAUGAUUAUCAUGCCUUGGAUCAUUACAAUCAUGAUGAUUGUUCUCAAACAUUCAUCAAUGAGGAUCAAGAGUGUUGCAUUUGCUUGAACAGGUACAAAAAAACAAAGAAGAAGUUAGGCAACUGCCCUGUAUCCAUCUCUUCCAUAAAAAAUGUGUGGAUCAAUGGCUAAGAAUUAUAUCAUGCUGCCCUCUUUGUAAACAAGGAUUACAAAGGAAGCAAUAAUAGCAGCAGAAACAAAUCAAACAAAAUUCACCAAGAGAAUUUUUAAUAAUUUUAUUCCAUAUAUUAGUUCUUUAUUUAUUUUUGUUGGUCAUAUAUAUGUACACACUUUACACACACGGGUUACUUGAGUGAGAAUUUACAUGUACAGAACACGCCGCCACCAGUAAUUCAUAUUAAAUUGAAUAUUUAAAAAUUGAGAUUGCAAGCAUAAAACUUCUUGUCUUUU
This is a non-coding RNA of Arachis ipaensis, 548 nucleotides long. The record is from RefSeq and is a predicted model, not a curated record. Lineage: Eukaryota; Viridiplantae; Streptophyta; Magnoliopsida; Fabales; Fabaceae.